This 1568-nucleotide long non-coding RNA is filed under the name Oryzias javanicus (javanese ricefish). Its description in RNAcentral is "lncRNA (ENSOJAG00000011887.1)". The record is from RNAcentral. Lineage: Eukaryota; Metazoa; Chordata; Actinopteri; Beloniformes; Adrianichthyidae.
GGUGAAUCUUGAUUUGUAAACAAGGCCCCACUGGUAUUAUAAUGGUCUCUCGUCAUGACCCCUAGAAAACAGUUUUUAAAAUGAUGAUGGCCAGCACAUUUCACAUACAAAUGUUAGACACAAGGAAGGAAAGCCUUAACUCUUGCUCUUGGAUUCCUGCUUGCUCAUGCUUUACCCUCCAUCCUUGUCCUAGCAAUAUAGCUUUCAACAGCUGUUGAAUUGUUGAGAGUUUUUCUAUAUCCAUGCAGUGAAAUUGAGUGAGAGGUUGGGCUUUUGUCUUGCAGCUCUGUCAGUUUUACUUCCAUCUACACAGCAGCAGGGAGGGGGCAGGACCGAGGGCUGGAUGGGUGGGACAAAGGGACGAAGAGUAGAGAGCAGAUGCAAGGUAACUACCUCAUUUGUCAACAACUUGCUGCAAAUGCUUAGACCAGAUGAGGAACGAGUGAAGGAUAUAGGAAAAGUCACUGAAAGUAGGAAGACGGAGCGUUCCUGCUUCACAAACACACAUUUGUUCUUCUGGAGCAUCAUUGGUGACUGUGUCUCAUGGUGUGAACGGAAUCACCUGCAGCUCAACAUCACCAAAACAGGAACUGGACCAAGUCUUCUGUUUCCAUGCAAGGGGUCGAUGUGGACACAGUGAUGGGCCACCAGUACCUGGGGAUCCACAAUGACAGCAAACUGGACUGAUGCUCUGCUUAAAAGGCCGGCUCUGGUCAUUCAACUUCUAAAAUCAAAAACCGUCUGUAGAUAUUUUACACUGUGUGCACUGUUUUGCACAUUUAGAGACAAAGAAUCAGAAAUGUUGUUGUUUUAUAAAGGACACAUUUAAACACAGAAACUGUUGUUCAUGUUUAAUUGCACUGAUUUUCUGACUAAAAACUCUAAUAAUCAAAUUUAAUUAAUGGGUUUUUUUUUUUACAUUUUUAAUUGUUAUAACGCUAUUAUGACAUGGAGUAAAUUGUGAAAUGAUAUACAUUGAAAAUGUAAUGUUUUCUGGGAAAAAGGGGGCAAAAGUAUUGAUUUUAAAGGAUAGUCUCUGAGCCUGUCAUGGUUAUAAUCAGCAGAAAAGUGGAGGUGGACAUUUUGAGGUUUAACCCUUUAACACCGGAGCUCCAGUGUUUAUGUUCUUUUAUUUACUGUAACUUCUCAACUGUUAACACGAUCAAUGUGAUUCCGACAAAUUCUGAAGAGGAAAAGCUGCUCGUAUCUCAUAGCUGCUUUUCUCCUGCAGAAUCUACUGGAAUUACCUUGAUCGUGUUAACAGUUAAAAAGUUACAGUUUGUUAAAGAUUUUGUCUUUAAGUGUCACCGGCGACUCCUCGGGGGUUAAAAGCUUAAACCAAGAUGAGGACGUUUUCUGGCUCGUCUUGUUUGCUGUGAUGUUCCUAAUUACAUGAUUUCCAAUACAUUGUAUUUUUCUGAGUGUCAUUGGUCCAAGAAUGGGUGGAUCAAAGACCAAGUCUCCAGUGCCAUUAUUUUGUGCUUAAAUUCCUAAUUUUUCUGUCAUUUUCAAGCAUGUUCUUAGGAUCUUCCUAUGUUUAUGUUUCCAUUUUCUUACAUAAACCACAG